UACGUAGGGGGCAAGCGUUGUCCGGAAUCAUUGGGCGUAAAGAGCGUGUAGGCGGCUCGGUAAGUCCGCUGUGAAAGUCCAGGGCUCAACCCUGGAAUGCCGGUGGAAACUGUCAAGCUCGAGUCCGGAAGAGGCGAGUGGAAUUCCUGGUGUAGCGGUGAAAUGCGCAGAUAUCAGGAGGAACACCAAUGGCGAAGGCAGCUCGCUGGGACGUGACUGACGCUGAGACGCGAAAGCGUGGGGAGCAAACAGG
This 253-nucleotide ribosomal RNA is filed under the name uncultured bacterium. RNAcentral's name for it is "partial 16S ribosomal RNA". It matches the Rfam family "Bacterial small subunit ribosomal RNA", at positions 524 to 776 of the family's 1533-position model. The record is from RNAcentral.